Non-coding RNA from Schistosoma mansoni, 48 nucleotides. Lineage: Eukaryota; Metazoa; Platyhelminthes; Trematoda; Strigeidida; Schistosomatidae. The record is from Rfam.
AUCCAGCUGACGAGUUCCAAAUAGAACGAAACGCGCGUCAAACUGGAU